Molecule: long non-coding RNA, 286 nt
Filed under: Ananas comosus (pineapple)
Lineage: Eukaryota; Viridiplantae; Streptophyta; Magnoliopsida; Poales; Bromeliaceae
Description: long non-coding RNA (ACOM_LNC040174)
Source: RNAcentral
GUUGGUAUUUAGUAAAACUGGGUGGAUCUGAAUAGUUGAUAUAUUAUAUUUGUAACCUAAAAUAUCAUUUGGUUUAGAAAUAGAUAUAAAUUGAGGUAUAACUAGAGAUUAGAUCAAUUUUGUAUUUGAAUAAAAAUUGGGUUAUUCAUGAGAAUAAAAAAAAUAACGUUUGGUCAGGUAAGAUGGAAUAAGAAUUAAAGUGAGUAGUUAUAAAUAAAAAAUAAUGAUAUUAUUCUUUUCUUUAUAUUAGAAUUUGAAUUUUUAUAUUUUUUAUUUCUAUUUUAGA